RNAcentral lists this long non-coding RNA (231 nucleotides) under Gossypium barbadense (sea-island cotton). RNAcentral describes it as "long non-coding RNA (GBAR_LNC000812)". The record is from RNAcentral. Lineage: Eukaryota; Viridiplantae; Streptophyta; Magnoliopsida; Malvales; Malvaceae.
CGGACAUGGGGUUGAGGGUGAUUUUUUUAUUGCACGUUCACAAAUAGGCAUGCUAGAUUAUGCAUUUCAUCUAUCUAUAUAUACAGAUAAAUAGAUUGACCUAUAGGUUCACACACGAUAUCUUUCAUACAUAGUGAUGGUAUCAACUCAUAUGGCCAUGUUCGAUUCGGUGGAAUAAAAAUAAAAUAGAAAUUAGCUUUCGGAGAGAUGGCUGAGUGGUUGAUAGCUCCG